This is a long non-coding RNA of Raphanus sativus (radish), 1065 nucleotides long. RefSeq lists it as uncharacterized. The transcript has 3 exons. The record is from RefSeq and is a predicted model, not a curated record. Lineage: Eukaryota; Viridiplantae; Streptophyta; Magnoliopsida; Brassicales; Brassicaceae.
CUGAAAAAAAAAAUCAUUGCCUUGCCGUAAAAAAAAAACUCCUUCAUCACUUGCAUCACGCAUAUUGUCGAGUAAGCCACCGUAGAGAACGGGACGAAGAGAGUGAGGGUGAGUUCAUGGAUCUCGUCUGUUUUAUCACUUAUGUGAAGCUUUCACCAUGGUUUUGCCGUAGAAUUGUUGAUCGGUUCGAGCUGCCACACAAUGAAUUGCUCUGAGCUGCUUUCUUAUGAGAAGUUCAUUGAUAAAAACCAGAAAGCUGAAUCGGAAGAAAACAAUAGAAUUCUUGGUGUACUUUUCGAGCCAUCGAUAGCUCACUUGACACAGAAAGUUCUUAAGCUUUUGGCUGUAUCUUCUCCACUCACAUUACUCGGAACUGACCCUGCUUUUGCGUUUUCUCAAAUUCCAUAGUCAUUGGUUACUUCUCUUGGAGACUUCGGAGACGGCAUAACUUAGGCCUUCUUGCUUAUCUUUUUCUCUGAACCUGGAGACAAGACUUUCUUCAGUGCGGUAAGACCUUGAGCUUGAGAUUUUAUUUUAUGCGUUAGAAACUCCAUGUUAUCAGACAGGUUAUUGACUGUCAAAAGGUUUCAUGAGUUUGUUUAGACUCUUUUAGCAGCAAGGAAUAACGCUGCUACUGUUUUCGCUGGGACUUUUGGUACUCUUGGGUAUGUUUUCUCUCUCAAACAGAGGUGUUACGUCAUGUCUGAAACAAAUAGUUGUGGUGAUUUUGCAUGAUAAUGACGAUAACAUGGUGUUAUGGUGUUAAUAUAUUAAAAUUUGACAUGUUGUUAAUAUAUUCAACUAUACAUUAGUGUCCAUGUUCGUAAUAUAUUUCAAAAUAUGUUAAUGGCCAAGUUUGAUUCUUUAUGCAUAUUCAUAGUGAUUAGGCAGAUAAACACGUAAGAAAAAAAAGUAUUGAUCAGACCAAAACUAGUAUUUGUUGUUUCAAAUCACCUAAAUAACUUUAAAAUCUAUAUAAGAUAUCUUAUCAAAUCACCUAAAGAUUUUUAUUUGUAUUUUUAAAUUUCAUCAAAAUCACCUAAAUAACUUCAAAACUCACCUAAA